RNAcentral lists this transfer RNA (97 nucleotides) under Trametes versicolor. RNAcentral describes it as "tRNA-Pro". It matches the Rfam family "tRNA". From Rfam's summary of the family: Transfer RNA (tRNA) molecules are approximately 80 nucleotides in length. Their secondary structure includes four short double-helical elements and three loops (D, anti-codon, and T loops). Further hydrogen bonds mediate the characteristic L-shaped molecular structure. tRNAs have two regions of fundamental functional importance: the anti-codon, which is responsible for specific mRNA codon recognition, and the 3' end, to which the tRNAs corresponding amino acid is attached (by aminoacyl-tRNA synthetases). tRNAs cope with the degeneracy of the genetic code in two manners: having more than one tRNA (with a specific anti-codon) for a particular amino acid; and 'wobble' base-pairing, i.e. permitting non-standard base-pairing at the 3rd anti-codon position. Lineage: Eukaryota; Fungi; Basidiomycota; Agaricomycetes; Polyporales; Polyporaceae. The record is from RNAcentral. RNAcentral also lists the same sequence under 1 other name.
GGCCCAAUGGUCUAGUAGUAUGAUUCGCCCUUCGGGUCGUACCCCAGUGUUACACUGAAAAUGGGCGAGGUCCCGGGUUCAAUUCCCGGUUGGGCCC